AACAGAAUUGUAUAGGGUGUAAUCCAAAACUUUUGUGCGGAUCAGGUGUUUGUGCUCGAUUUCCCUCCCCGGCUGGCGAGUGAAUUGGCACCGCAACAAUUCCUUCGAGAGGAGUUUCGUCGCGUUGCAGCAAAGAACGAUGUAAAGUACUGCGUCAUAGCUGACCGCUUUCCGCUGGACUCACGUGCCUUGUGGAGUCGUGAUGGGAUCCACCUGAGUGACGAUCUGGGGAUGCCGCUUCUCGCGAAGCUUCUGUGGCACUUCUCCUUUCAGCAGCUACAGUCACCUCUGCCUGUUACACCUCCGCCUGUGUCUCCUCCCAAGUCACCCCCGACUGUGAGACCCUUUGCUACCACCGUGGUUGUGAAGGGAGAGGUUCCACGUCCACGUCCCCUUGACCCCUUCAAGGAAACUGUCGUCGGACGUCGCGGAAAGGUAAAAGUUAUACAAUUUUGAAGAGCUUUAGUUUUAGUUAGGCCACAUUUAUUGAAUACUAAUUCCCCCUAUGUGUUUAUAGCGCAGCCAACCUGAGUCCUGGGAUGCGCCUGAGGACUGGGAUCAGUCUUCCGUGCGGAUCCUUCCUCAUGAGGUUUGUACAUUGGUAUGAUAGCUGAUAGGAAAUUAAACCGUAAUGAUGCGUACAUUUGUUGUUUCAUUUAAA
Gadus macrocephalus (Pacific cod) is the source of this 661-nucleotide long non-coding RNA. RefSeq lists it as uncharacterized. NCBI's taxonomy places the organism in Eukaryota, Metazoa, Chordata, Actinopteri, Gadiformes, Gadidae. The transcript is spliced from 3 exons. The record is from RefSeq and is a predicted model, not a curated record.